Ribosomal RNA from Erinaceus europaeus (western European hedgehog), 119 nucleotides. The record is from Ensembl. NCBI's taxonomy places the organism in Eukaryota, Metazoa, Chordata, Mammalia, Eulipotyphla, Erinaceidae.
GUCUACGGCCAUACCACCCUGAACACGCCCGAUCUCGUCAGAUCUCGGAAGCUAAGCAGGGUCGGGCCUGGUUAGUACUUGGAUGGGAGAAAUGAUAGUAACAACAAAUGCUGGAGAGG